This is a long non-coding RNA of Cannabis sativa, 262 nucleotides long. RefSeq lists it as uncharacterized. The transcript is spliced from 2 exons. The record is from RefSeq and is a predicted model, not a curated record. NCBI's taxonomy places the organism in Eukaryota, Viridiplantae, Streptophyta, Magnoliopsida, Rosales, Cannabaceae.
GACAACCUAAAAGCCAAGAAUGCGGUUUUUAUGUUUUGAAAUAUAUGACUGACAUCGUCGCACGUGCCAACCCCAACCGUUACAUAGAAGAUCAAAAAGCUUUUGGGGGUAAGAAGCAAUACGAUCCAAAAACAGAAAUUUUACCACUACAGCGAAAGUGGAUCGAACAAUUGAUGGCGGUGAUUCACGGUGACGAUUGAGGUUCAAAGGUCGAAGAAUUUUUCUUCAUUAUGUAAUUUUUAUAGAUUAACUUGUAAUUAGA